RNAcentral lists this long non-coding RNA (624 nucleotides) under Homo sapiens (human). Its description in RNAcentral is "HSALNT0340143". Lineage: Eukaryota; Metazoa; Chordata; Mammalia; Primates; Hominidae. The record is from RNAcentral.
GUGUGGCAUCUUCUAUCUUCUGGCUGCAGAGGCUCUCCCUGCUGUGUGCUCAACAACCUUUGAACCCUAAGUGCUGUCCAUGCAGAUGAGGCAAAGGGAAUUUCCCAGGUUCUGGGAUUAGGAUGUGGACCUCUUCAGGAACCAUUCUUCUGCCUAUCACAAUGGAUGCCCAGAGGCCUAAGAGAUUGUUUUCGAGCAGAGGAGAGAUGACAGAACCCAGACCAGCCCAGAGAAGAAGGACAAGCAGAAGGGAUGGGCAAGGAAAGACAAACAACAUGGCCUGAUUCAGAGACACUGGCUGAGCGAGCAGGAUAAGAAAAUAACAACAGGGAACAGAUGAGGACCCCUGGUCCAGCAUGGUCUGAGUACAUAGGAAACCUCAAUGAAUGCUAAAUAGUUGGAUGGAUGAAUAGAUGGGCACUCAUCUACAGGAUUCUGAUACAGUCAUGGCAUGCACCACAUUGUCUCAUCUUGGGACUAAACAUCCCAGUAUGACAGCUAGGAAGGAUUCAAUUAAUCCCUAUUCAUUAAUUCAAGGCAGCAUAAGAGAUGAUCCAGGGUGUGGCUUCAGGAGUCAGGCUGCCUGAAUUCAAAUUCCUAUUCCAAGAUUUCCUAGCUGUUCUA